Vidua macroura (Pin-tailed whydah) is the source of this 666-nucleotide long non-coding RNA. RefSeq lists it as uncharacterized. Lineage: Eukaryota; Metazoa; Chordata; Aves; Passeriformes; Viduidae. The record is from RefSeq and is a predicted model, not a curated record. The transcript has 4 exons.
GUUUUCACCCGGACGCUCUCUCCCGGAGUGCUGGCCAGGCGCUUCUGGGGGCCGCCGGAGAGAGAGAGAAGCGACAAACACCUUUGCAGGGUAUUUGUAGCACAUGCCAUCCAGAAAACCCAGACAGCACUGGCACAGGAGUCACUACAGCUGCUCUAACAUGUACUAUACGAGGAUUCUCUUCAGCUGGAAUCAUCCUUAGACAGCUGCAACCCACCAAAUUUACAUUUCCUUUUGCAUCAAGGAGCCUGUGCAAAAAAGGCCCUGGUAAAAGUCUCUUGCCAUCUUUCUUGUGAACAUCCCUUAUAUAUGGAAAGGCCCCAUCACAGUCUCCCCAGAUCCUUUUCUUCUCCAGGCUGAACAAUCCCAAGUGUAAAGCCCUUUGUCAUCAGCUCUCCCAUCUGUCCCAGUACACAGGCAGCUGCCUGCAUGACUGCCUUGAGGAUGAACUUGCUUCUCGGCCCUCCAGGCUCUGCCUCAAACCCAACUUGAGGAUGCUACCAAAACCACAAGGGACAAGCCUGCAUCAGGACUUCGUACUUUCCCAGGAUAAUUUUGAAACAGCAGUAUAGAAGACCUCGAAUAAAUCCCAUAAUUUGGGGAUUAUGGGAUAUCCCAUAAAACACGCAUACAUUAUUCUGUUUUUCCUUUCAGAAAAAUUGUUGC